GGUAUGGUGGUUGCCCUGAACUGUUCAGAGUUCCAUAAGGAGCUCUUUAUCUAAACAUUUUUUCUUUUAGUUUUACCCCCUCUGUGGAUUAUUUAAUACGGAUGAGGUUUUGAUCUCUAUUUUGCAUCCUCGUAGCCUACUUCUCACCAUUUCCUUAAUUUCUUGACAUUGUUGUGGGUGUUUGUCUGAUCUGUUGCUUUGAAUACUAGUAGUUAGUCACAUGGUGAACACGUUAUUCUAAAAAGCUCACAUUGCACAUGUUCUGCACGCUUGGGCACUAGCAGGUGUUAUCCCAUUAGAAAACUAGGUGGAGGGAUUUUUAACCAAAUUUCUAAAAUGAUUAUGUUAUCAAUUAAUGUUAUGACUCCGCUUUAUUCCUAUUACAGUGGUCUAGUUACCCUCAAAUACUCUAAAGAACUCUGUGGACUCGUUCUGUGGUCGUUGGUUGUCAAGCCAUCUGUUAAAUAUGUCAACAUGAGAUCUUUAGCUAUGAAACUAAUUCUUUGCGAAAGCAAGUGCCUCAUUUUAGCUAUGAGAACUCUGCGAAACUAAUUCUUUGCGGAAGCAAGAGCUAAUUCAAGUCUUUUCAAGGUUUGGAGUAAUUAUUUUUAUCAUGUAUUUUCCUAAUAUGUGAAGCUUGUGGAAUUUAAUUUUCUAUUUCUUUUUGUCCUUUCCCAGUUGCGAUGGAUUUAUAAAAUUGAAGAUGCAGAGCACAUAUGGAACUCCGGUUGCAUUUGUUGAUUUUUAGAUGUUUUUGGACAUACAAAUGUGGAUAUGUUUUUUUUGACUAGUACGGGAGGGCAUUGUUUUUAUAUCUCUAUCCGUAUGUAUAGUGGUUUGUACAAAUUAUUUUUUUGGUGUGGUAAAUAUCAGCUACGUUGGCAUGGUAGAAAUUAACAUAGCACGUGGUACAAAAUAGUUUUGGGGCAGUACAAAAUAUAAUUUUUGUUGUGGUACAGAAGUUCUAGGUGUAAAAUUAAUUUGGUUAUUCCUGUAUUAUGUAUGGAAUUAAAUUAUUGACGUUGGAUUA
Non-coding RNA from Camellia sinensis, 1030 nucleotides. Lineage: Eukaryota; Viridiplantae; Streptophyta; Magnoliopsida; Ericales; Theaceae. The record is from RefSeq and is a predicted model, not a curated record.